UGUAGAAAGCUGCUUUUUGAGAUCCAGUUCUCUGAUAUACCUACCUUUAAAUUACCGUGUGUUUUAGUGUAGGAAUACUCACAAACUUGGUCUGCCAUAAAGGCUGUAUUUCUCCCCUUGUGCUUACCACUCUCUCCAUCAACCUUUGUUAUUUUUCUUGAACAAUCUUUCAGUUGUAUGUUUUCACCUGUAGGCAGAUCCACCUCCACUCCCAGCAACCGACCACCUCACUUUUCCAUCCUUCAGCAGGUUUCCUCUGUGGCUGCUGGAUCUCGCACGCACUCCUUGGAAGAGCAGGCAGGCAUCUUACCCGGUUGCCUUCAUACGUGGGCACCGCUCCGUGGAAAGUUUGAAAUAAAUUCUCAGUGAUCCCCAAACUGUUUCAUAUUCAAGUCAAACCGAAACGUGCGUGCUUGAAUAUUGCUCCCCUGCCACCCACUUGCAACCCAGGCUCUGAACACAGCCUCCCGUCUGAAAGUCAGCGUGGGCUGUGCCUGCUCCGUGCCCAGACAGAGCUAGAAGAACGCCAGUUCCUGCUUCCACGCUGUGUUGGUUUUGCUAGGCAAACAGGCACAAAGUCUAUCAAAGCUUGCACAGCAACAGCUCUGAACGCAGCUAGGUAGUCCAGCCACUGAGACAGGGCUUUUAUGGUCAUUUUUCAAGGAAAAGUGCUCUUUAAAAAUGUUAAGAGACUGCAUGAUGAACAUAAUGUGGGAGCUGAGGCAAAGAAGAAAAAAAUAAAAAUAAAAAAUCUUAGCAGUAUGUUAAACUCAUGCAGUACUUUCUAUCUGCAGUGUGAGAAGAUAGAAAGUAUUGCAGCUAGAUCCAGUAAGACUGAUAUCUGUGCAGGACAGAUAAGACAUUUAUUUCCAAUCAAAACAUUUUACAAACCUUUCUCAGAGGCAGCUAGCUUCCUGCACUAGCUAAAAGUAAAAAUAAAAUAAAAAAGAGGAUUCAUGGAAAGCGUAAGAAUAAAACAUUCAAAGAUUUCUAGUUGUUCAGUAAUUGUAAAGAGCAUGUUUCACUAACUUUUUUUGAACUCUUUUAGAAGAGCCCAAUGAAUUCCUGUUGUCUCUGUACAGGUAUCUGCUUGGAAAAAAAUAUAUAUAUAUAUUAAUAAAUGAACAGUAUUGCAAGAACCCAUCCAUGAAAGCUCCCUUGGAACUGCUCUGCAGAAUGAAUGGGCACAUCAGAAGCACAAAACCAACAGUAUGUGUCAGCCCUCCAUACCAUCCACAGAACCGGGAGCUUUUUAGAUGUGCCAGCCUCAGGCUUCGUGUUCCUUACGGCAUGCACGACAUGGAAGUAAGAGAGCAUCAAGCACCCAUCAUGACUGAGAACAGCGUAUUUUAGUGAUACUGGUAUGACCAAAAUGUAACUGCUGAUCAAUGCCAAUUAGCUAGAAUAAUCCUGUUAGCAUUAGCUCAACUGUUCAUUUAUCUCUGCAACGCUAAUUGUGUUUGAAGUUCUUUCUAACACUGACUCCUUUUGUACUGCAAUGAAAGCCUGCAAAAACACUCAUCAAUUGAACAGCUGAUACAGUGAACAACCCCCUUCUUUUUUGUUUUGUUUAACUCUUUGGAAUCCUAAGUGUGAUAAAAGUACCACUGGAUAUUGAUUGUAUCAUAUAUUGCCCAAGUUUAUAGUUUUAAUCUAUUUUACAGUAACUAUUAUCCUUCUGCCAUAACAAGAUGUGUAUCUUAUCAAACACCAAGUCUUACUGGUUGUUGCAAGUGUAUAUUCCUCUAAGAAAACAAACAAGAAUACCCCAAA
Molecule: long non-coding RNA, 1773 nt
Organism: Oxyura jamaicensis (ruddy duck)
Lineage: Eukaryota; Metazoa; Chordata; Aves; Anseriformes; Anatidae
Exons: 2
Source: RefSeq, a predicted model, not a curated record